GCUACACAUCCCACGCUACAAACAACGCACCACGCCCACUUCACAUCGCGGAUUGGUCUUUCCCGGCCACCGUCACGCGCAUGCUCCCUGAGGGCACUAGGGUUUGGAGAGGCCCUGCUGGUGGCAUACUUCCGGCGUUGCACUUCCGGCCUGUUGGUGGCCGCGUUUGCCGAAACCCUGUAUCCUGACACCCCGGUGGCGCCUGGUCGUUGCCUUCUUGGGCCUGGCGGUUGCCGAGGGAUUUGAGGGGCGGGAAUCGCGGAGACGCGUUUGGAUCCUCUAGGUGGGAAGCAGGCUCUUCCGAUCGCGGCCUCAGGGGCGCCGAAGGCUCACACCCCUAGCCAUGGACUGCAGUCUGGACAGGAUGGCUUCGGUGGUCCCCGGGCAAUUUGACGACGCGGAUUCCUCAGACAGUGAAAACAAAGAACUGCAGCCAAUCCAUGCAGAAGAUGGCGGCGUUCUACUUAAAAGCCUCCAGAAUGCUGCAGCAGAGGUGAAGGGCGACGCUGAGACCGAUGAGGAAGACGACUAUGAUGAUGAUGAUGAUUGGUACUUGGACGAUGCAACUGGAAAACUCACCAAGGGUUGUACCUGGAAUGGCGGCAGUAACUAUCAGGCAAACCGACAGACUUCUAACUACAAUUCAGCCAAAAUGUCUACUCCAAUUGACAAGUCCUUGCGAAAAUUUGAAAAUAAAAUCAAUCUAAAUAAGCUGAAUGUUACUGAUUCUGUGACAAAUAAAGUCACCGUAAAAUUGAGACAAAAGGAAGCAGAAUCGUAUCGAAUUAAAGAUAAGGCCGACAGAGCAACCGUAGAACAGGUUUUGGAUCCCAGAACAAGGAUGAUUUUAUUCAAGUUGUUGCAUAAAGACCACAUAUCAGAGAUACAUGGCUGUAUUAGCACUGGAAAAGAAGCUAAUGUAUACUAUGCUAGCACACCCAGUGGAGAGAGCAGAGCAAUCAAAAUAUACAAAACUUCUAUUUUGAUGUUCAAAGAUCGUGAUAAGUAUGUGACUGGGGAAUUCAGGUUCCGGCGUGGCUAUUGUAAAGGAAACCCUAGGAAAAUGGUGAGGACGUGGGCAGAGAAGGAGAUGAGGAAUUUGUGCAGGCUAAAAACAGCAAACAUACCAUGUCCAGAACCAAUCAGGCUAAGAAGUCAUGUUCUUCUCAUGGGCUUCAUUGGCAAGGAUGACAUGCCAGCCCCACUUUUGAAAAAUGUCCAGCUGUCAGAGUCCAAGGCACGGGAGUUGUACCUGCAGGUCAUUCAGUACAUGAGGAAAAUGUAUCAGGACGCUAGACUUGUCCACGCGGAUCUCAGUGAAUUCAACAUGCUGUACCAUGGUGGAGAUGUUUACAUCAUUGAUGUUUCUCAGUCUGUGGAGCAUGACCACCCACAUGCAUUGGAGUUCUUGAGAAAAGACUGUACCAAUGUCAAUGAUUUCUUUUCCAAGCAUGCUGUUGCAGUGAUGACCGUGCGGGAGCUCUUCGACUUCGUCACAGAUCCCUCCAUCACUGCUGACAACAUGGAUGCUUACCUGGAAAAGGCUAUGGAAAUAGCAUCCCAGAGGACCAAGGAAGAAAAGACUAGCCAAGAUCAUGUGGAUGAAGAGGUGUUCAAACAAGCAUAUAUUCCCAGAACCUUAAACGAAGUAAAGAAUUAUGAGAGAGAUGUGGACAUCAUGAUGAGGUUAAAGGAAGAAGACAUGGCUUUGAACACUCAGCAAGACAACAUUCUAUACCAGACUGUCAUGGGAUUGAAAAAAGAUUUGUCAGGAGUCCAGAAGGAGUGAAUGGAUGCUACCCAUCUUUCUCCCGCGUGUUGAUUCUAUUUUGAUGUUUCAGUGCAUAACUUGAAAGAGUAUCUGACAUACUGAUGUAAGAUGCUGGCAUUAAUGUGUUGAUAGUACCUGGCUUCACGUAGCAUUGUUCUAUAAUAAUCUCAAGGUCCCCGCGCUCCUAGAAAGUGAAGUUAAGGAAGAGACUUGUUUUGGUUCAGACGAUGCUGGGGGCUCUGAGUGCUCCGACACAGUCUCUGAAGAGCAGGAAGAUCAAGCCGGAUGCAGAAACCAUAUUGCUGACCCUGACAUUGAUAAAAAGGAAAGAAAAAAGAUGGUCAAGGAAGCCCAGAGAGAGAAGAGAAAAAAUAAAAUCCCUAAACAUGUGAAAAAAAGAAAGGAAAAAACAGCCAAGGCCAAAAAAGGCAAAUAGAAUGGAGCCAUUCCUCGGCUACAUUUUAACCCUGAAACAGAAGUAGCUGGAGGAGGCUUCCUCACUGUCUCACUGUCAGAGGAGGCUGGGGUGUGGUCAUGUGAUUGUUUCAAAAGCCUAUUCUUUCGGGAUCCAGUCCUGGCUCUGCUUUUAACGGACUUAUUAAGGUAUUAUUUUAAUGAAGAACUUUGUAUAUUUUAUUUUUAUAUUUUUAUCUUGCAAACAUUUUCCCACAAGUAUCAGAACAUGAGUGUUUAUGAUGAACAUCCACGGACGAACUUGGGAACAUUUGUUUUCUUUGUCUAUGCCAAAGACAUAUCUGAAACAGCCUGGAGCUCCGCUCCGAGAGACAUCGUCUGGCCGUUAUGUGCCAUUCCCAGGAGCCCUGUUCCUGUGUGUUCUGGAUACACAGGAAGCUGUCCUAUGAUCCUGCUUCAUCUUAACUAUACCUUUCCAGUGAGCCCUCCCAGCUCAGGUGCCAUUUCACACCCAGCCAUUUGUUCAUCAGAUAUUUCAGUGUUCUAGGAACUGGGAUAUAGCUAUGAAUAAAACCACAUUACUUCCUUUG
This is an RNA transcript of Mus musculus (house mouse), 2775 nucleotides long. It is a transcript of the gene named RIO kinase 1, with no coding region annotated. The record is from RefSeq and is marked reviewed. Lineage: Eukaryota; Metazoa; Chordata; Mammalia; Rodentia; Muridae. The transcript has 17 exons.